Non-coding RNA from Danio rerio (zebrafish), 71 nucleotides. The record is from Rfam. Lineage: Eukaryota; Metazoa; Chordata; Actinopteri; Cypriniformes; Danionidae.
GCAUUGGUGGUUCAGUGGUAGAAUUCUAGCCUGCCAUGUGGGAGACCCUGGUCUGGUUCCUGGCCAAUGCA